Molecule: ribosomal RNA, 487 nt
Filed under: uncultured bacterium
Lineage: Bacteria
Description: partial 16S ribosomal RNA
Rfam family: Bacterial small subunit ribosomal RNA
Source: RNAcentral
GAUGAACGCUCGCGAUAGGCUUAACACAUGCAAGUCGAGGGGCAGCACAAGGUAGCUUGCUAUCUGGGUGGCGACCGGCGCACGGGUGCGUAACGCGUAUGCAACUUGCCCUAUACAGGAGGAUAACCCGUCGAAAGACGGACUAAUACUGCGUAUGCUCACAACUUGGCAUCAAGUGGUGAGGAAAGAAAUUCGGUAUAGGAUAGGCAUGCGUCCCAUUAGCUUGUUGGUGAGGUAACGGCUCACCAAGGCAACGAUGGGUAGGGGAACUGAGAGGUUUAUCCCCCACACUGGUACUGAGACACGGACCAGACUCCUACGGGAGGCAGCAGUGAGGAAUAGUGGUCAAUGGGCGCGAGCCUGAACCAGCCAAGUCGCGUGAAGGAUGACUGUCUUAUGGAUUGUAAACUUCUUUUAUACGGGAAUAACAAGAGUCACGUGUGACUCCCUGCAUGUACCGUAUGAAUAAGCAUCGGCUAACUCCGUG